GAUGAAUAACGUAGCGAAAUGCGAUAAGUAAUGUGAAUUGCAGAAUUCAGUGAAUCAUCGAAUCUUUGAACGCACAUUGCGCCCGCCAGUAUUCUGGCGGGCAUGCCUGUUCGAGCGUCAUUUCAACCAUCAAGCCCCCGGGCUUGUGUUGGGGACCUGCGGCUGCCGCAGGCCCUGAAAAGCAGUGGCGGGCUCGCUGUCACACCGAGCGUAGUAGAUUUUAUCUCGCUCUGGGCGUGCUGCGGGUUCCGGCCGUUAAACCACCCUUUUAACCCAAGGUUGACCUCGGAUCAGGUAGGAAGACCCGCUGAACUUAAGCAUAUCAAUAAGCGGAGGA
Molecule: unclassified non-coding RNA, 337 nt
Filed under: soil metagenome
Description: partial contains 5.8S ribosomal RNA, internal transcribed spacer 2, and large subunit ribosomal RNA
Rfam family: 5.8S ribosomal RNA (bases 1-120)
Source: RNAcentral